UCCCUGGUGGUCUAGUGGUUAAGACGUGGUGCUUUCACUGCUGGAACCUAUGUUCAAUCCCUGGUCUGGGAA
RNAcentral lists this transfer RNA (72 nucleotides) under Sus scrofa (pig). It matches the Rfam family "tRNA". Rfam says of the family: Transfer RNA (tRNA) molecules are approximately 80 nucleotides in length. Lineage: Eukaryota; Metazoa; Chordata; Mammalia; Artiodactyla; Suidae. The record is from Rfam by way of RNAcentral.